UCCUACGGGGCGCAGCAGUAGGGAAUCUUCCACAAUGGACGAAAGUCUGAUGGAGCAACGCCGCGUGAGUGAAGAAGGGUUUCGGCUCGUAAAGCUCUGUUGGUAGUGAAGAAAGAUAGAGGUAGUAACUGGCCUUUAUUUGACGGUAAUUACUUAGAAAGUCACGGCUAACUACGUGCCAGCAGCCGCGGUAAUACGUAGGUGGCAAGCGUUGUCCGGAUUUACUGGGUGUAAAGGGAGCGCAGGCGGCCUGCCAAGUCU
Molecule: ribosomal RNA, 261 nt
Filed under: uncultured bacterium
Lineage: Bacteria
Description: partial 16S ribosomal RNA
Rfam family: Bacterial small subunit ribosomal RNA
Source: RNAcentral